This is a small nuclear RNA of Dipodomys spectabilis (banner-tailed kangaroo rat), 107 nucleotides long. The record is from RefSeq and is a predicted model, not a curated record. NCBI's taxonomy places the organism in Eukaryota, Metazoa, Chordata, Mammalia, Rodentia, Heteromyidae.
AUCCUCACUUUGGCAGGACAUAUACUAAAACUGAAAUAAUGCAGAGAAGACUAGCAGGGACCCUAUGCAAGGAUGACAUGCAAAUUUGUCAAGUGUUCUAUAUUUUU